UACAGAGGUCGCAAGCGUUGUUCGGAUUCAUUGGGCGUAAAGGGUGCGUAGGCGGCGCGGUAAGUCGGGUGUGAAAUCUUGGAGCUUAACUCCGAAACUGCAUUCGAUACUGCCGUGCUUGAGGACUGGAGAGGAGACUGGAAUUUACGGUGUAGCGGUGAAAUGCGUAGAUAUCGUAAGGAAGACCAGUGGCGAAGGCGGGUCUCUGGACAGUUCCUGACGCUGAGGCACGAAGGUCAGGGGAGCAAACGGG
This 253-nucleotide ribosomal RNA is filed under the name uncultured bacterium. RNAcentral describes it as "partial 16S ribosomal RNA". It matches the Rfam family "Bacterial small subunit ribosomal RNA", at positions 524 to 776 of the family's 1533-position model. The record is from RNAcentral.